UACGUAGGGUGCGAGCGUUGUCCGGAUUUAUUGGGCGUAAAGGGCUCGUAGGCGGCGUGUCGCGUCGGGAGUGAAAGACCGGGGCUUAACCCCGGUUCUGCUUCCGGUACGGGCAUGCUGGAGUGUGGCAGGGGAGACUGGAAGUUCCUGGUGGUAGCGGUGGAAUGCGCAGAUAUCAGGAGGAACACCGGUGGCGAAGGCGGGUCUCUGGGCCAUUACUGACGCUGAGGAGCGAAAGCGUGGGGAGCGAACAGG
RNAcentral lists this ribosomal RNA (255 nucleotides) under uncultured bacterium. RNAcentral describes it as "partial 16S ribosomal RNA". It matches the Rfam family "Bacterial small subunit ribosomal RNA", at positions 524 to 776 of the family's 1533-position model. The record is from RNAcentral.